CAAAUUUACUGUGGAAUUUCCUGACGAUACUAGACAAAGAGUUUAUUGGCUGAUUUCUAAAAUGGGGCUAAUUGUAGUCAUCUGCAUGCACAGGUGUUUAUGGAGAUUAUUCCGCUAGUAUUUAGAUUUCACUUUGAAGUGAAUAACUUUAGGUGUCCUGGCUAUGGGGUGGAGAGCUCUAUGAAUCUUUAAGGACUGGCUUGUAAACAUGUAAUCAGAGGAUCUGGUGUUGCCUGAGAAUCCAGAGCAGGUUUUAAAUAGCUCACAGAGCACUAGGCUGGUCUUUCCAAGUCCAAGUUAUCAAAAAUAGUUUCCCAGUUUGUGCGUGUGACCUUUCCUGGCUGCAGACACUGAGCCAUAAAGGCUAUUUUGCCUUUGCCUGUCACCAGAAGCAAAAGCAAACUGCUGACUUUUUCAAAUAUGAAUG
Molecule: long non-coding RNA, 427 nt
Filed under: Bos taurus (domestic cattle)
Lineage: Eukaryota; Metazoa; Chordata; Mammalia; Artiodactyla; Bovidae
Description: long non-coding RNA NONBTAT006574
Source: RNAcentral